Kogia breviceps (pygmy sperm whale) is the source of this 327-nucleotide non-coding RNA. The record is from RefSeq and is a predicted model, not a curated record. NCBI's taxonomy places the organism in Eukaryota, Metazoa, Chordata, Mammalia, Artiodactyla, Physeteridae.
GGUGCGCCGGCAGGUGCUUCGGCCAGCCGCCCUGAGGGAGAGGUGCGGGGACUUGUCUUGUAGCUGAGUUUGCCCCGCGCUUCACCGCAGAGAUGCGGCUUCCUGCCUGCCUGCCCAAUCACCGAAGUGCAGCCGCCAUUGUCCGGGCCCUCCCAGAACCACCCACAAACAAUGUCUUGAAAGGGCGGUUGAACCAACUUCCACUCCCUUCCCUCCCUGUCCAGGCUCCAGCCCCGCCUACCUCUGCCCUCUGACGCCUCUCUGCCGUCAUGCCGGCCUUGAGCUGCCCAGUCUGUCCGAGGCUCAGGGCCUAUAAGUGGCAGAGAG